RNAcentral lists this ribosomal RNA (16 nucleotides) under Acrophialophora liboensis. RNAcentral describes it as "partial 18S ribosomal RNA". Lineage: Eukaryota; Fungi; Ascomycota; Sordariomycetes; Sordariales; Chaetomiaceae. The record is from RNAcentral.
CGCGGAGGGACAUUAC